Molecule: long non-coding RNA, 6823 nt
Filed under: Vigna radiata
Lineage: Eukaryota; Viridiplantae; Streptophyta; Magnoliopsida; Fabales; Fabaceae
Description: long non-coding RNA (VRAD_LNC007727)
Source: RNAcentral
AUAUUCUGUCUUUAUUUAUGAUAAGUAAUUGAGAUUAAAGAAUGGAUUAGGUUAUUUUGAUUUCCUUUGAUGGAUUUGUUUGUGAUCUCUAAUCCAAAAUUUUUAUUAUCAAGUAUAUUAACCAUAAAUGAGUUAGGGUCCAUUGAUGUGAAUCAGUGACUUCAAAUUGUGGCAGUGACAUCAAUUUGUUAUGUAGAUGGAUUCUAUAUAGCACCAUGGGCAUUGAGUGGGUAGAUUAAGUGUUUCACUGUACAUUGAAUAUUGGUGGUUUGUUUCGUUGUCAUAUCACCCCCUUGCAUAACUUCAUUGAUUAGACAUUGAUAUUCUUUUCUUGAUUGUUUGUUACUAAAGAAUUUCAAUAAACUUACGUGAUGGAAUUGGACUUGAAACUUUGGUAAUCAUCUCCAAACAUCAUCGUUACAGGGAUGAUGGGGAGGAGAAGGAGCAGAUUUUAACUUAUUAUUAUGUCAUGUCUUGACAUUUUCAGCUUUGUAGCUUUUAUCUUUCUUUUUAGUGUUAUGAGACUUUAUGCGUACUUUAUUAAACACAUUGAUGAAUCUCAUUUGAUAUAAUAUAUUUCUAAUUUGCUACCUUUAUUUUAUUAGCUUUUCUUAUUAUGUUUGGCAAUUUUUUUCUGUUUUAUUUUUUCAAUUUGCAUUGUAUGCUUCCAUAUUUGUCUGCAGUGUUGUCUAUCAUAUUGUGUGGCAGAUUUUUGUUUUUCUUCCAUGAACUGCCAAAAAGGUUGUAUAUUCAUGGUAAAUAAAGUUUUAGGGACUAAAAUUAAUAAUGAGCAUAAUUGUUAAGUCAGAAGUUGUCUAUAUCAUAUAUCUAUUUGGAAGAAAUGAAGUAACCGAAAAUAAUAUGUGCUACAUUUUGAACUGUUGGAGAUCCCACAUCGAUUGGAUAUGUGAGUAAAUUGCAAUUUAUAAGUGGGCGUAAACCUUUCAUUACAAAAUAAUUUUGAGGUUGAGUUAGAUUUGAAGUCCACUUCCUAAUAUGGUAUCACGGUAUAUCUUUGCAAAGUAGUUUGUUAGACUUACUGUGCCAUCUACCAUCGAGCCGUUAUCGAACCACUGACAAGUGUUUGUUUCCACAAGAGUGUGUUGAAGAUCCCACAUUGACUAGAUAGAUGAUUAAAUUAUGAUAUAUAAGUAGGUACAAAUUUCACUUUACAAAUAAGUUUUGUGACAUUGAGUUAGGUUAAUAGUCCAUGUUUUAAGACCUGAAUCUACUUUCUUCUCUCGUCAUCCAUAUGAGGAUGAAGUCUCAUGUGAAGCAUACUCUUGUUAAUGUUAUGGGAAAGUGAAGUUUUUGGAGGAUUAAGACCCUCACAUCAUGAGCACAAAGUGAAAGAACCUAUUAGAGAAGGAUAUGUCUUGGAUCUGAUGGGGAAGUAAAAAGGUUGAGCUAGAUGUUGUCAGAGCCUAUAUGUUAGGUUCCUUUACUCAAGGAACGUAAUAGAUGAACAAUCCACACACACACUCCCAACAGGAAGAAAGAAAGGUAUGAAUAUAAACUGUAUUUAUCUGUAAAAGUAUGAAUGAACAGUAAACAAAAGAGUAUUUCCCAAGGAAGCCUCCCUUCCUCCACUGGAAUCACGCCCCAGUCUCUACCUAAAAGGCACCCAAAAAGAUAAGAUCCCCUCUCCCUAUUCUGAUUCUUAUUUAUUCUCUCUCUCUUCUAACAACCCGUAACCCACCUUGCUCCUAACACGUGUUUGUCUCACCCCCUACGUGUUUGCCUUGCUCCCUACUCUCCUUACAUGUGUUUAGCUGACUCCUCUUUUAUUCUUCCUUGUAUAGACCUUUAAUGGUCUAACAUUACCCUCCUCCCCAACAUCAACCUUGUCCUCAAGGUUGAAGUGAGGGAGCUGCUGGCGGAUGUAGUGUUCGUCUUCCCAUGUAGCCCCUUCAACAUCAUCCUUCUGCCAUUGUAUUAAGACUUGGGGUAUCACCUUCCCCAGUUCCUGCUGGUUCUUGCGUUGAAGCACUUUCAGAGGAGUGUAAGUGUGUCUAUCCUCCUGCAAAUCAUUUGGCAAAACUUCCUCCACCUUAUGAUCUCCUACCGCUAGUUUCAAUUGAGAAACAUGAAACACAGGAUGUAUUCUUGAAGAUUCUGGUAACUGCAGCCUAAAUGCAACGGAUCCUAUUUGUUUUUCCACCAAAAACGACCCAUAAUAUCUUGCUGAAAGUUUGGGAUGCAGUGUUGUGGGCAUAGAUGCUCGUCUAUGAGGUCUGAUUUUAAGGAAUACCAAAUCGCCUUCCUUGAUUUUGGCCGCCACCCUCUUCUUAUUAGCAUGAUGAGUCAUCUGAUCCUGAGCCCGUGCCAAGUGAUANUUCAAUUGCUGCAAUGCCUCAUCACGGGUUUGCAAAUCCUGAGCAACUGCAUCCACCACCGUUUCUCCUGGUAUGUAACGUGUCAAUGUAGGAGGAGGUCUUCCAUACACCGUUUCAAAGGGAGUGCAUUUGGUCGCGCCUUGGUACGUGGUGUUAUACCAAUAUUNAGCCNAAGGUAACACCAAGCNCCAACUCUUGGGCUGUUCGGAGCUGAAACAGCGCAGAUAAGUUCCCAACACCCUGUUCAACACUUCCGUCUGGCCAUCUGUCUCUGGGUGAUAGGCUGUGCUCAUCCUGAGUUGUGUACCCUGUAAACGAAAAAUCUCUUGCCAAAAUACACUCAUAAAAGUCGAAUCUCUAUCACUAACAAUGGUUACCGGUAUCCCAUGAAGUCUAAUCACUUCCUUCACAAACACCUCCGCUAUGGAUCNAGCUGUAUAAGGGUGUUUAAUUGCAAUAAAAUGUCCAUACUUGCUGAGCCUGUCCACCACCACUAAUAUAGUAUCAAAUCCAUGAGACUUGGGUAGUUUCACUAUAAAAUCCAUACUGAUCUCCUCCCAUAUUGCUUGUGGUAUAGGCAGGGGUUGUAAAAGUCCUUGGGGAGAUGCUGCUAGAUAUUUGUGCUGUUGACAUACUAAACAUGCAGCCACAAAAUCCGUAAUUGUUUUCUUCAUUCCCACCCAGUGUAAUGAUUGCCCCACUCUUCUGUAGGUUCGGUAGAUCCCCGAAUGUCCUCCAGUUACCCCACUGUGAAAGUCAGCUAUAAUCUUUGGUAUCCAAACCGAAUGUGGGGAUAAAACCAGCCGCCCUUUGUAGUGUAAUCUGCCAUGUUCCAGAGUGUAUGCAGGGUGGGACUCUGGAUCUGUUCUUAUAUCUGUUAACACCUUGCUGAGGUUCUCAUCCUUCUCCACCUCUUCCAUGAUCUCUUUAAAAUCAGCCCAGUAUGGCUUGGAUAUCAUCCCUAACAUCUUUUCUUCUUCUUCCCACUCUGCUCCUUUUCGUGAAAGUCCAUCUGCCACACAAUUAGAUGCUCCUGUCCUAUAUUUUAUCUCAAAUUCAUAUCCAAGGAGUUUAGCUAGCCAAUUUUGCUGACUUUGGGUAGUUAUCCGUUGUUCUAGUAAGUGCUUCAAGCUCUUUUGAUNAGUAAAAACCACAAAUUUUUGGCCCAAUAGGUAUGGCCUCCAAUGUUGUAUAGCAAGCACCAACGCCAUCAAUUCCUUUUCAUAGAUGGAUUUGGUUAAAGAUGAUUCUGAUAAAGCCUUACUAAAGAAAGCUAUGGGUUUAUUUCUCUGUGACANCANUGCUCCCANUCCAUUCCCCGAUGCAUCACACUCUACACAAAAUGUUUGAUCAAAGUCAGGCAGAAUCAAAACUGGAGNUGUUGUUACCGCCUCUUUCAGUUUCUUCAUGGCUUCGGAUCCUGCUACCGUCCACUUAAACAUCCCCUUCUUNAGCAAUUCAGUGAGGGGUCUUGCCAUCUUCCCAUAGUCACGGAUAAAUCUUCUGUAAUACCCAGUCAAACCUAAAAAACCUCGUAACUCCUUGAUAGUCUUAGGUUNUGGCCAAUCUAACACUGCUGCAACCUUAUCUCUAUCCAUCUCAACCCCUGCUGCCGAUAUCUUAUGCCCCAGAUAUUUCACCUGUCUUUUGCCAAAUUCACAUUUCUUCUUAUUGGCAUAGAGUUUGUGCUCAUUUAACACCUUUAAGACUUGCACCAAAUGUUGUGAAUGUUCAUCCCAUGUCUUGCUAUAGACAAGAAUGUCAUCAAAGAAUACCAAUACGAAUUUCCUUAGAAAGGAUCUCAAAACCGAGUUCAUCAUAUCUUGAAAGGUGGCUGGGGCAUUUGUUAGCCCAAAAGGCAUAACCAGAAAUUCAUAAUGUCCUUGGUGCGUCCUAAAAGCUGUCUUAUGGAUGUCUUCAUUCUUCAUCCUUAUUUGAUGAUAUCCAGCCUNCAGAUCCACUUUUGAAAAAUAGGAUGCCCCCUGAAGCUCAUCCAACAACUCCUCAAUAACGGGAAUAGGAUAUUUAUCCGCUACCGUCACCCUGUUUAAUGCUCUGUAAUCCACACAAAAUCUCCAGCUUCCAUCUUUUUUUUUUUCACCAAUAUAACUGAGCUAGAAUAAGGGCUGUUACUGGGCCUGAUAAUUCCCAGGUUCAGCAUCUCCUCCACUUGUCUCUCUAUUUCCGACUUCAUUCCAUGGGGGUAACGGUAUGGCCUUACGUUCACAGAUUCACUCCCUUCUUUCAAAGGAAUUCGAUGAUCAACUCUUCUCUUCGGUGGCAGCCCUUGGGGUUCUUUAAACACUCCUUCAAAAUCACUGAUAAUCUCUUCCAAUUUGACCUCUUCUUCAUCAUGAUUUAAAUCGCUAACUUCCAUCUCCCCUUCUCUCAGUUCUGCUUGACUCAGACUCCAAACUAAUGUCAUGAUUUCAAUCUCGGUCUCCUUCAAAAGGGCUUCUGGUGUCACCAUUUUACGUGUCAGGGAUGGAUCCCCUUUGAUCACCACCUCUUCUCCCUCUUGCUCCACCUUCAUAAUGAGCUUUCUCCAGUCCACCUUGAUUUCUCCCAGGGAGGCUAACCAUGUAACCCCCAAUAUCACAUCCACACCUCCCAGCUCAAACAAAUAUAAUUUAUCUCUAAUCUCCAGCCCCUCCAAUUUCAUGGGUACUCCAACGCAACAUCCCCUGGCCAUUUUUCUCUGCCCAUCGCCUAAACACACUUUAUAUAAUGGUGUAUCGACCCACGGUAAUCCCAAUUCCUCCACUAAAUUGGUGGAAAUAAAGCUAUGACUAGCUCCACUGUCAAUUAGCACCAGAACCUUCUUCCCCUGCACCCAGCCUUGUAACUUCAUUGUAUUAGAUUGUGUGAGCCCUCCGGCAGACAACUCUGAUAAUUCCAUUGUCGUUUGUGCAAUCUCAGCAUUCUCCUCUGCUUCUUCCUCUUCAUCCCCCUCAGCCAAUAUCAUAAUACGCAUACUCCUUUCAGCGCAGCGAUGGCCCGGACUGUAAGGCCCACCGCAGUGAAAACAACGACCUUCUUCACGCCGUUUAAUAAACUCUGGGUAUGGCAGAGUGCGUACUCCUCUUCCUGCAUUUCCUCCUCCGCUACUCCCUGCUUUCGAAUUUCCCCUAACCGCACUAGCAUCCUUCUUAGUGCCUCCGCCGCCGUUCCCGGAACCCUCCGACGAGCCUCGAUACGUUUCCGUUCUCGCAAUUGUCCCGGAACUCGCGGAAUACCUUCCCCACGAUGCCCCUCCUUUUCCUCCAAUUCCACCACUCACUCGUGGCACCAACCCCGCCUGUUCAACAUCGCGUGCUCUCUCCAUCGCUGUCAGCAAGUCGCGUGGGUCGUGCGGUCGCACUAAAUUUCGUAGCCCCUCCUGCAACCCAGCAAAGAAAUAUCCCAAUAGUUGCUCUUCCGUCACUCUGGUUGUUUGUGCUACGAGUGUUUCGAAUUCAUGAAUAUACUCAUCUACACUCCCUCGCUGUCGCACCGCAGCAAGCUUUUCGAAGACGGUGCCCCGAUUCAAUCCUCCAAACCUCCGUGUUAGCGCCUCUGUAAACAACUUCCAGGUUGGGUGUUUGGUUUUUUUCCUCCAGAAGCGGAACCAAUAGUUUGCACUUCCCUCCAUACAUAUAUAAAUCAACUUCAUCUUCUCCUUCUCUGUCACUUCCUGUAUGUCGAAGAACUUCUCAGCCUUUGCUAUCCAGCCCAUGGGGUCAAUCCCUUCAAAAGUUGGAAGCUCAACACGCUUCAUCCAGCUGCGAUGGAUUUCCCUUCGUUCGUCUUCCGAUUCUUCCUCCGACGUCUCCGACGAGCGUUGCUCGCGUUCGCCACUAACAGACUCUCGACUCCCUUCCGAGCUCCGGUCUCGGUUCUUGGAGCGUCUUCGAAAGGCUCGUCGAAACUCGUUGGUCAUUUCUCGCAUCUCCGCCUUUAACUCUUCCACCGUCGACUCCAUCGCCACCAUUCGCCCCUCCAUUUUUCGUCGCUCCAGCUUCCUCCGAUCCGGCAGGUCGGACCAAACCUGUUAGGUUCCUUUACUCAAGGAACGUAACAGAUGAACAAUCCAUACACACACUCCCAACAGUAAGAAAGAAAGGUAUGAAUAUAAACUGUAUUUAUCUGUAAAAGUAUGGAUGAACAGUAAACAAAAGAGUAUUUUCCAAGGAAGCCUCCCUUCCUCCACUGGAAUCACGCNNNNNNNNNNNNNNNNNNNNNNNNNNNNNNNNNNNNNNNNNNNNNNNNNNNNNNNNNNNNNNNNNNNNNNNNNNNNNNNNNNNNNNNNNNNNNNNNNNNNNNNNNNNNNNNNNNNNNNNNNNNNNNNNNNNNNNNNNNNNNNNNNNNNNNNNNNNUCUCUCUCUCUUCUAACAACCCGUAACCCACCUUGCUCCUAACACGUGUUUGUCUCACCCCCUACGUGUUUGCCUUGCUCCCUACUCUCCUUACACGUGUUUAGCUGACUCCUCUUUUAUUCUUCCUUGUAU